RNAcentral lists this microRNA precursor (80 nucleotides) under Cavia porcellus (domestic guinea pig). Its description in RNAcentral is "microRNA cpo-mir-98 precursor". Its record names the gene cpo-mir-98. It matches the Rfam family "let-7 microRNA precursor family", at positions 7 to 78 of the family's 84-position model. Rfam says of the family: This family represents the microRNAs (miRNA) let-7 and mir-98. let-7 was identified from a study of developmental timing in C. elegans, and was later shown to be part of a much larger class of non-coding RNAs termed miRNAs. The record is from miRBase by way of RNAcentral. Lineage: Eukaryota; Metazoa; Chordata; Mammalia; Rodentia; Caviidae.
UGAGGUAGUAAGUUGUAUUGUUGUGGGGUAAGGAUUUAAGGCCCCAUUAAGAAGAUAACUAUACGACUUACUACUUUCCC